Molecule: non-coding RNA, 92 nt
Filed under: pig gut metagenome
Source: RNAcentral
CGCUAGGGGAGCACAUCGCUGAGAUUGGAUGGCAUAGUCAUCCUAACCCUCAUUACUUGAACCGGGUAAUACCGGCGUAAGGAAGCAUUUUU